AAAUGGGGGGAAAAUGGGGAAAAUUGGUGAAAAAACGGGGAAAAUCGGGCAAAAAAUGGGGAAAAAAUGGGAAAAAAUGGUUUAUACCGGUCCAUACUGGUCCAUACUGGUUUAUACUGGUCCAUACUGGUCCAUACCGGUCCAUACUGGUUUAUACUGGUCCAGACUGGUUUAUACUGGUCCAUACUGGUCCAUACUGGUUUAUACUGGUCCAUACUGGUCCAUACUGGUCCAUACUGGUUUAUACUGGUUUAUACUGGCCCAUACUGGUCCAUACUGGUUUAUACUGGUUUAUACUGGUCCAUACUGGUUUAUACUGGUCCAUACUGGUCCAUACUGGUUUAUACUGGUCCAUACUGGUCCAUACUGGUUUAUACUGGUCCAUACUGGUCCAUACCGGUCCAUACCGGUCCGUACCGGUCCAUACUGGUCCAUACUGGUCCAUACUGGUUUAUACUGGUUCCAGAGGUGCUGGCGGCGCUGGGCCCCGCCCAGGUGGGGGAGGGGCUGCUGGAGGCGCUGCAGCUCGGGCUGCGAUUGGCCGAGAGCGGCGACAGCGACGCCACGCGGGUCACUUUGGCGCUGCUCUCGGCCGUCUCGGAGCUCCUGGGGGAGGGGACGGCGCCGCUGCUGCCCCAGGCGCUGCCGCUCCUGCAGGGGGCGCUGCGCCCCCCGCCGCCGCCGCCCCCCUCCGACGCCCCUGAUUGGCUGCUGGGUUUCCAUGACGAUGAGGAGGGGGCGGAGCCAAUGGAGGACGAGGAGUGGGCGGGGCCUGAGCUGUGAGUGGGCGUGGCCUUGGCAGGGUGGGCGUGGCCUGGGCCGGGUGGGCGUGGCCUGGGGCUAAAGGGGGCGUGGCCUAAUGCCCAUUUAUGGUCAUGCCACGCCCCCUCGCAGGGCGGAAGUGGGCGGAGCUUUCCCCGGAUUGGCCGAGGCGGCGCUGGGGGCGCUGGGGGAGCUGGCGGAGAACUGCGGGUAACUGGUUUAUACUGGUUUGUACUGGGAAUGGGUCUGGGGUUACUGGUUUGAACUGGGAAUGGGUUUGGGGUUACUGGUUUGUACUGGGAAUGGGUUUGGGGUUACUGGUUUGUACUGGGAAUGGGUU
Molecule: long non-coding RNA, 1102 nt
Filed under: Lonchura striata (white-rumped munia)
Lineage: Eukaryota; Metazoa; Chordata; Aves; Passeriformes; Estrildidae
Description: domestica (Bengalese finch) lncRNA (ENSLSDG00000008170.1)
Source: RNAcentral